GAUGAACGCUGGCGGCGUGCCUAAUACAUGCAAGUCGAGCGAACAGACGAGGAGCUUGCUCCUCUGACGUUAGCGGCGGACGGGUGAGUAACACGUGGAUAACCUACCUAUAAGACUGGGAUAACUUCGGGAAACCGGAGCUAAUACCGGAUAAUAUAUUGAACCGCAUGGUUCAAUAGUGAAAGACGGUUUUGCUGUCACUUAUAGAUGGAUCCGCGCCGCAUUAGCUAGUUGGUAAGGUAACGGCUUACCAAGGCAACGAUGCGUAGCCGACCUGAGAGGGGGAUCCGCCAAACUGGAACUUAGACACGGUCCAGACUCCUAAGGGAGGCAACAGUAGGGAAUCUUCCCCAAUUGGCGGAAGCUUGACGGGGCAACGCCGCGGGAGUGAAUGAGGUUUUCGGAUCGGUAAACUCUGGUAAUUAGGAAGAACAAAUGUGUAAGUAACUAUGCACGUCUUGACGGUACCUAAUCAGAAAGCCACGGCUAACUACGUG
This 497-nucleotide ribosomal RNA is filed under the name uncultured bacterium. Its description in RNAcentral is "partial 16S ribosomal RNA". It matches the Rfam family "Bacterial small subunit ribosomal RNA", at positions 28 to 507 of the family's 1533-position model. The record is from RNAcentral.